Molecule: transfer RNA, 77 nt
Filed under: Bacteroidota bacterium
Lineage: Bacteria; Pseudomonadati; Bacteroidota
Description: Bacteroidetes bacterium (marine metagenome) tRNA-Ile
Rfam family: tRNA
About the family: Transfer RNA (tRNA) molecules are approximately 80 nucleotides in length. Their secondary structure includes four short double-helical elements and three loops (D, anti-codon, and T loops). Further hydrogen bonds mediate the characteristic L-shaped molecular structure. tRNAs have two regions of fundamental functional importance: the anti-codon, which is responsible for specific mRNA codon recognition, and the 3' end, to which the tRNAs corresponding amino acid is attached (by aminoacyl-tRNA synthetases). tRNAs cope with the degeneracy of the genetic code in two manners: having more than one tRNA (with a specific anti-codon) for a particular amino acid; and 'wobble' base-pairing, i.e. permitting non-standard base-pairing at the 3rd anti-codon position.
Source: RNAcentral
GCUCCGGUAGCUCAAGGGGUUAGAGCACGUGCCUUAUAAGCGCGAGGUUAUGGGUUCGAUGCCCAUUCGGAGUACCA